Long non-coding RNA from Dermochelys coriacea (leatherback sea turtle), 1337 nucleotides. RefSeq lists it as uncharacterized. The record is from RefSeq and is a predicted model, not a curated record. Lineage: Eukaryota; Metazoa; Chordata; Testudines; Dermochelyidae. The transcript is spliced from 3 exons.
CUUAACUAAUAAGCCUGGCUGAAAUAAUUUGUCUGGAGCACUUAUUGCUGCAGCUGCUGUACUAAAUUAGGCCAACAAAGUCUCUUCAGUUUGAUACCUGCAAGACAGUCUGCAUUAAUGUUGAAAUGAAUGCCGCAAAGGCUAACCUUAAUCCUCCAUUAACAAUAUAUGUAUGAAAUGGAUUUAAUGCUGCUGAGCUCCAGCAUUAAUACUCGGAAGCAAAGCAAUGAAGAAAAAAAUGUCUGCUCCUAAAUUCUUUCCCUCUGGCUUUACCCAAAUGUUUGCCUUGAGAUUUCUGAGGACACAGUCAUCCAUGACCUCUUGGCUAUCAGCACUUUGGUACAGCAUAAAAACCGCUCAGAAAGAGGAGACAUCUUUGACAGUUUGUUUAUUGCUGGAGUCCUGAGGAAAGAUGCAUCGGUGCAGCAGAGCCUGCCAGCUACGCAAGUUAAAGAUGGAUUAAAAAAAUUCAAAUCGGGAGAUAAUACAAACUGUUUUGUAUUCUGGCGUUUUACAACUGAUGAGAUUCCACCUCCUGAAUUUAGGAUCUAUCACCGUUUCGAAUAUGACCAAAUGCUGUGGCUCUGAUUAGGCAAUCUCUUCUGUGAGGGCAGACCCCAUGCCUGUGCAGAGGUCCACUAGCUUCAAUGGAGUGCCACAUGAAUACAGAUAGCUGCUGAAGUAGAGCAGUUUGCAGGAGUGAAGAGGCACAACUAAGGCCUGAUCCUGCAUUGUGGUCUUCGCAGAUGGACUUCUGUGCCUGAGCAGAGCUUCACUGAAAUCAUUCCUUCCAAAAUGUUGUUCUUUAUUAGCCAGUAUUAAAUUCUUUUCUCUACAUGUUACGAAGGCUGAGGAUGGAUUAGUGGAAUGAACGGUGCAUUGCUACUCCUUGGCACACGAUUGCCUUAUUAGGCACCAUCUACUUAAAAUUAGCAUGUUAAGAAACUUCAGUCAGAUCAGGGAAGGUACUCAGCUAAACAUCUCUCCCCAUCCUUCAUCCUGACUGAAUUGUACUUGCCACAUGAUUCCUUACAGUAUACACAGUGUUAUUCUCCCAAACAACUUGAACAGAUGAUUAUAACAAUAAUUUCAGAGAAAGAGUGACAUUUCCCAUCUAAAGACAACCAACCUUCAGAAAUCACCCUAAGGAAAUAGUAUAUUGGCGAUUUUUGGCUAGCUUUCCCCCACAGACUGCAUUCAAUUUGACAUACAGCUACUGUGCUGCAAGGCUGAGCAUCAUGAAUGAUUGCUACUGUUUUAAAGUUCAAAAGCAUUCUAUGAAUGAUCACCAGAUACUUUUAGAAUGUCCUAAUGUGAGAUAUUAAAAAUACAGAGGC